UACGUAGGGUGCGAGCGUUAAUCGGAAUUACUGGGCGUAAAGCGUGCGCAGGCGGUUUUGUAAGCCAGAUGUGAAAUCCCCGGGCUUAACCUGGGAAUGGCAUUUGGGACUGCAAGGCUCGAGUGCGGCAGAGGAGACUGGAAUUCCUGGUGUAGCAGUGAAAUGCGUAGAUAUCAGGAGGAACACCGAUGGCGAAGGCAGGUCUCUGGGCUGACACUGACGCUCAUGCACGAAAGCGUGAGGAGCAAACAGG
This 253-nucleotide ribosomal RNA is filed under the name uncultured bacterium. RNAcentral describes it as "partial 16S ribosomal RNA". It matches the Rfam family "Bacterial small subunit ribosomal RNA", at positions 524 to 776 of the family's 1533-position model. The record is from RNAcentral.